This is a long non-coding RNA of Hipposideros armiger (great roundleaf bat), 1340 nucleotides long. RefSeq lists it as uncharacterized. The record is from RefSeq and is a predicted model, not a curated record. Lineage: Eukaryota; Metazoa; Chordata; Mammalia; Chiroptera; Hipposideridae. The transcript has 3 exons.
UCAUAUUGCUCAGUCAUGACUCAUUUUCUUGAGUCGCUGUUUACUAGGAAACAACAGGGCACAAUCAAUUUCCUCCCUUCUCUGCAGAAAGAAUUAGAUACUUUAAGAAAGUUUAUGCAGCUGAAGUGUAAGAAUGUGCGGAACCUUAUUUCACAAUAGUCACCUGCUUCUUCACAAAGCUGAUAUACAGAGAACUGAAAACAAGACAAUCACGUACAACCACUAGAGGGCGUGAGAGAACAGAAAGAACAAAACGAGUCUAACUUUUCCUCUUUAGAAGCUGCGGAAGGUCAAGGCUGGAGCAGAAAGGGAAACACAACCAUGUUGUCUACAUAAGGAUUCCUGGCGUUUCGAGUGGAUAACCAGUUUUCUGGAGGCCAGAAGUCCAAAUUGAAGGCGCAGGCAGAACUGUCCUUCCCCGCGAAUGGCGUAGGAGAGACCCCUUCCUGGCUUUCCCCGGGUCCUGCUAGCUUCGGGCGUUCCUUGGCUCGCAUCUACGCUUCUAUGGAUGGACAUCUGGGUUGUCUGCUCUUGUGUUAUUAUAAAGAACGACGCGAUGGCCGUGUGAGGAGACCUGUAGGACUGCAGAAGCAGGCUGCCUCAGGAGCCAAGAGGACGGAUACUUUUGCCAAAGUGCAUCCUGCAGAUGAAUGGACUAGAAUGCUUGUUUCCUCCUAUCCGUCCAGCACACCUUUAUCUCUGCUAAUCUCUUAGGUAAAAAUCAGCAGCUCGCUGUAGCUUUAAUUUGCUUUUAUUAAUUAUAAAUGAGGCAGGAUAUCUUUUUCUUGUGUUUCAGUGGCAUUUUAAUUUUCUUUUUUAUGAACUGUAGAUGCCUUUUCCUAUUUUGAAAGUUUUCACAUAUUAAUAAAGUAAUAUAUGCACAUACAUAGAGUCUACUGAUUUUAUAAGACUUGUUAAAAACAAAACCAAAAACAAAACCCCAGCAAUCCCCAGCCCUCCUCUGCUAACACUUUUCCUUCCCCAGAAACAACUACUUUUAUCUUUCUUGGCCAAUCCUUUCGGUAGUUACCAUCAAGUCUUAAAUAAUAUGGUUGUAUUGAUAUUUUUUUUAUUUUUCCAUUUUAGACAUUAUCUAUUGACUUUCCACUAAGGAAGAUGAGAAUUUGAUCCUUUCCUCCUCCAUCACUAUCCCACGAGGUGUAUACACACUGCCUAUUCUCUCAUGCUCCCUAUGUAGUUACAUAGUAAUUUUGGUGAGGACAGACAACAUUAUGACCGUGUAUGCUAUUUACGGUGCACUGCCUCGUAAGUCCUACUCAUAUGUGCAAUAUAACAUAGUGGUCAAGAGCACAGAUCUGGAAGGCAGACUGCCAGGGGUC